This 253-nucleotide ribosomal RNA is filed under the name uncultured bacterium. RNAcentral describes it as "partial 16S ribosomal RNA". It matches the Rfam family "Bacterial small subunit ribosomal RNA", at positions 524 to 776 of the family's 1533-position model. The record is from RNAcentral.
UACGUAGGGUGCGAGCGUUAAUCGGAAUUACUGGGCGUAAAGCGUGCGCAGGCGGUGAUGUAAGACAGGUGUGAAAUCCCCGGGCUCAACCUGGGAAUGGCAUUUGGGACUGCAAGGCUUGAGUGCGGCAGAGGAGACUGGAAUUCCUGGUGUAGCAGUGAAAUGCGUAGAUAUCAGGAGGAAUACCGAUGGCGAAGGCAGGUCUCUGGGCUGACACUGACGCUCAUGCACGAAAGCGUGGGGAGCAAACAGG